This 424-nucleotide ribosomal RNA is filed under the name uncultured prokaryote. RNAcentral's name for it is "bacterial SSU rRNA". It matches the Rfam family "Bacterial small subunit ribosomal RNA", at positions 355 to 776 of the family's 1533-position model. The record is from RNAcentral. RNAcentral also lists the same sequence under 1 other name.
UGAGGAAUAUUGGUCAAUGGGCGAGAGCCUGAACCAGCCAAGUCGCGUGAAGGAUGAAGGUUUUAUGAAUUGUAAACUUCUUUUGCAGGGGAAUAAAGUACGGUACGUGUACCGUUUUGUAUGUACUCUGCGAAUAAGGAUCGGCUAACUCCGUGCCAGCAGCCGCGGUAAUACGGAGGAUCCAAGCGUUAUCCGGAUUUAUUGGGUUUAAAGGGUGCGCAGGCGGGUUGAUAAGUCAGCGGUGAAAGUUUGCAGCUUAACUGUAAAAUUGCCGUUGAAACUGUCGAUCUUGAGUGCAAAUGAGGUAAGCGGAAUGUGUUGUGUAGCGGUGAAAUGCUUAGAUAUAACACAGAACACCGAUUGCGAAGGCAGCUUACUGGGAUGCAACUGACGCUCAUGCACGAAAGCGUGGGGAUCAAACAGG